GACGAACGCUGGCGGCGUGCCUAAUACAUGCAAGUUGAGCGCUGAAGCUUGGUACUUGUACCAACUGGAUUAGCAGCGAACGGGUGAGUAACGCGUGGGGAACCUGCCUUUGAGCGGGGGACAACAUUGGGAAACGAAUGCUAAUACCGCAUAAAAACUUUAAACACAUGGUUCAAGUUUGAAAGAUGCACUUGCUUCACCCAAUGAUGAUCUCGCGUCUUAUUAGCCAGUUUGUGAGGUAAACGCCCUCCAAGGCGAUGAUACAUAACCGACCUGAGAGGGUGAACCGGCAAAUUGGGACUGAGACACGGCCCAAACUCCUACGGGAGGCAGCAGGAGGGAAUCUUCGGGAAUGGACGAAAGGCUGAACGGGCAAAGCCGGGUGAGUGGAGAAGGUUUUUGGAUCGGAAAAAUCUGUUGGUAGAGGAGAAAGAUAGUGGGAGGGGAAAGCGCACAAAGUGACGGUAACUAACCAGAAAGGGACGGCUAACUACGUG
RNAcentral lists this ribosomal RNA (497 nucleotides) under uncultured bacterium. RNAcentral describes it as "partial 16S ribosomal RNA". It matches the Rfam family "Bacterial small subunit ribosomal RNA", at positions 28 to 507 of the family's 1533-position model. The record is from RNAcentral.